Molecule: ribosomal RNA, 726 nt
Filed under: Listeria monocytogenes
Lineage: Bacteria; Bacillati; Bacillota; Bacilli; Caryophanales; Listeriaceae
Description: partial 23S ribosomal RNA
Rfam family: Bacterial large subunit ribosomal RNA
Source: RNAcentral
AAGCACCCCGGGAGGGGAGUGAAAUAGAACCUGAAACCGUGUGCCUACAACAAGUUCGAGCCCGUUAAUGGGUGAGAGCGUGCCUUUUGUAGAAUGAACCGGCGAGUUACGAUAUGAUGCGAGGUUAAGUUGAAGAGACGGAGCCGUAGGGAAACCGAGUCUGAAUAGGGCGCUUUAGUAUCAUGUCGUAGACCCGAAACCAUGUGACCUACCCAUGAGCAGGUUGAAGGUGCGGUAAGACGCACUGGAGGACCGAACCAGGGCACGUUGAAAAGUGCUUGGAUGACUUGUGGGUAGCGGAGAAAUUCCAAACGAACUUGGAGAUAGCUGGUUCUCUCCGAAAUAGCUUUAGGGCUAGCGUCGACAUUAGAGAUUCUUGGAGGUAGAGCACUGUUUGGGUGAGGGGUCCAUCCCGGAUUACCAAUCUCAGAUAAACUCCGAAUGCCAAUGAAUUAUGGUCGGCAGUCAGACUGCGAGUGCUAAGAUCCGUAGUCGAAAGGGAAACAGCCCAGACCACCAGCUAAGGUCCCAAAAUAAUUGUUAAGUGGAAAAGGAUGUGGGGUUGCACAGACAACUAGGAUGUUAGCUUAGAAGCAGCUAUUCAUUCAAAGAGUGCGUAAUAGCUCACUAGUCGAGUGACCCUGCGCCGAAAAUGUACCGGGGCUAAAACAAUUUACCGAAGCUGUGGAUACCUUUUAUAGGUAUGGUAGGAGAGCGUUCUAUGUG